RNAcentral lists this ribosomal RNA (510 nucleotides) under uncultured bacterium. RNAcentral's name for it is "partial 16S ribosomal RNA". It matches the Rfam family "Bacterial small subunit ribosomal RNA", at positions 28 to 507 of the family's 1533-position model. The record is from RNAcentral.
GACGAACGCUGGCGGCGUGCUUAACACAUGCAAGUCGAACGAAGAGCGAUGGAAGCUUGCUUCUAUCAAUCUUAGUGGCGAACGGGUGAGUAACGCGUAAUCAACCUGCCCUUCAGAGGGGGACAACAGUUGGAAACGACUGCUAAUACCGCAUACGAUCCAAUCUCGGCAUCGGGACUGGAUGAAAGGUGGCCUCUAUUUAUAAGCUAUCACUGAAGGAGGGGAUUGCGUCUGAUUAGCUAGUUGGAGGGGUAACGGCCCACCAAGGCGAUGAUCAGUAGCCGGUCUGAGAGGAUGAACGGCCACAUUGGGACUGAGACACGGCCCAGACUACUACGGGAGGCAGCAGUGGGGAAUCUUCCGCAAUGGACGAAAGUCUGACGGAGCAACGCCGCGUGAGUGAUGACGGCCUUCGGGUUGUAAAGCUCUGUUAAUCGGGACGAAUGGUUCUUGUGCGAAUAGUGCGAGGAUUUGACGGUACCGGAAUAGAAAGCCACGGCUAACUACGUG